RNAcentral lists this ribosomal RNA (512 nucleotides) under uncultured bacterium. Its description in RNAcentral is "partial 16S ribosomal RNA". It matches the Rfam family "Bacterial small subunit ribosomal RNA", at positions 28 to 507 of the family's 1533-position model. The record is from RNAcentral.
GAUGAACGCUGGCGGCGUGCCUAAUACAUGCAAGUCGAACGAAACUUCUUUAUCACCUAGUGCUUGCACUCACCGAUAAAGAGUUGAGUGGCGAACGGGUGAGUAAUACGUUGGCAACCUGCCCAAAAGAGGGGGAUAACACUUGGAAACAGGUUCUAAUACCGCAUAACCAUAGUUACUGCAUGGUAACUAUGUAAAAGGUGGCUAUACUACCGCUUUUGGAUGGGCCCGCGGCGCAUUAGCUAGUUGGUAGGGUAAAGGCUUACCAAGGCAAUGAUGCGUAGCCGAAUUGAGGGGGUGAUCGGCCAGAUUGGGACUGAGACACGGCACACACUCUUACGGGAGGCAGCAGUAGGGAAUCUUACACGAUGGGCGAAAACCUGAUGGAGCAACGCCGCGUGGGUGCAGAAGGUCUUCGGAUCGUAAAACCCUGUUGUUAGAGAAGAAAGAGAGUGAGAGUAACUGUUAACGUUUCGACGGUACCUAAACAGAAAGCCACGGCUAACUACGUG